Molecule: ribosomal RNA, 913 nt
Filed under: uncultured bacterium
Lineage: Bacteria
Description: bacterial SSU rRNA
Rfam family: Bacterial small subunit ribosomal RNA
Source: RNAcentral
GGACGAACGCUGGCGGCGUGCCUAAAACAUGCAAGUCGAACGGAGGCUUCGGCCUUAGUGGCGAACGGCGGAGUAAUACAUAAGCAACGUGCCCUGAAGACCGGGAUAGUUACUGGAAACGGUGGGUAAUACCGGAUGUGGCUCUCGGAGGACAUCCUCUGAGAAUUAAAUGGUUUUUCGCUUCAGGAGCGGCUUGUGGCCUAUCAGCUAGUUGGUGGGGUAACGGCCUACCAAGGCGACGACGGGUAGGGGGUCUGAGAGGAUGAUCCCCCCGAGUGGGACUGAGACACGGCCCACACACCUACGGGUGGCAGCAGUUGGGAAUCUUGCACAAUGGGGGAAACCCUGAUGCAGCGACGCCGCGUGGAGGAUGGAGGAUCUAGGUCUGUAAACUCCUUUUGUCAGGAAAGACUUAGGACGGUACCUGACGAAUAAGCACCGGCUAACUACGUGCCAGCAGCCGCGGUAAGACGUAGGGUGCAAGCGUUGUCCGGAUUUACUGGGCGUAAAGAGCGCGUAGGCGGUCCGUUAAGUGUGAAGUGAAAUCUCCAGGGCUCAACCCGGAAACUGCUUCGCAUACUGGCGGACUAGAGGAAUGCAGAGGUAAGUGGAAUUCCCGGUGUAGCGGUGACAUGCAUUGAUAUCGGGAGGAACACCCAUGGCGAAGGCAGCUUACUGGGCAUUAUCUGACGCUGAGGCGCGAAAGCGUGGGGAGCAAACAGGAUUAGAUACCCUGGUAGUCCACGCCCUAAACGAUGGAUACUAGGCGUAAGAGGUAUCGACCCCUCUUGUGCCGCAGCUAACGCAUUAAGUAUCCCGCCUGGGGAGUACGGGCCGCAGGGUUGAAACUCAAUGAAUUGACGGGGACCCGCCACAGCGUGGAGCAUGUGGAUUAAUUCGAAUACUAACCGAA